AAGAAGAGACAAGUGGGCAGGCAGGCACUGGCUGGCUCAGGAGAGCUGGCCUCGGUGGUAUUGGAGGAGCUCCUUAUGGGGAAGGACGAGUGUUCUGCAGAAUGAAAGUGCCUUUUCCUCUCACCAGGAAUGCUGGGAUGUUUGGGUUACAGGAUUCUGAGAAGAAGAUGGAGCAUGGAGGUGCCAGGAUCAGAUGGGAGUGGUGUCAGGGAGGGGCCACAGAAUUAAUGAUCCUGGAUAUCUGAGUGGCCUAAGCCCCAGCUCUCUGCAGGGAAGGAGAGGAGCUGAGGAGAGGCCCAGGGCAUUCCAGGUGAUAGCAGAGCCUGUGACUGUAACUGGAUAUGCCCAAGAGGUGGGGUUCAGAGAGCAAGCAGGGAGCAGCAGAAGCAGCUCAGCAGGGGCCGCCCAAGGGAGCAUGGAGUGAGCAGAUUCUUUGUGCCUUCCGGUGGCCUUUCCCAGGUUCCCUCCUGUGGCUGUUGAACUCUGGAGAACCUUGAUCCUGGUGAGCAGAACUGGAGGCGCCUUGUGGGUGACCUCAAGCACUGCCCUGGGUGGGGACCGCCUGGCUGUCCUGGCUGGAAAGUGGAUGUGCACAAGCAUAACCCACGGACUCUUCAAGACAAGGUCGAUUUGGCCUGUUUCCCCUGCAUCAUACUUCCAUGGCUCUGUUUCUGCUGGACUCUUCCUGCAUUCAGAGAAUUGGGUCAGCAUUUUGGUUCAGUGUAGAAAAUAGCUUCAAAAUAGAGCUGUCCAACAGCAGAAGAGGGUGCAAGCAAAGGCCAAAUUCCUCCCUCCCUCCCUUCCUCUCCCCAUCCUUCCUGCCUGCCUGCCUGCCUGCCUUCUUUGCUUCCUUUCUUCUCUCUCUCUCCCCUCCUUCCUCCUUCCCUCUUUCUUUCUUUCUCUGACCACUACUUAGUUUAUUCAUUUAUUCAUCCAUUCAACAAAUACCUGCCUUGCAUGGCUGUAGAAAGGUUAUGUGGGAUGCAGCUUACCUUGCGAUCAGCCUCUCCUUCCCCUAUCUCCUAUAUGCAGGAAUCCCCAGCUGUUGUUGAAUGAAUGGACCCCCAUUUGCCAACUAUUCCAGCCGGGAUUCUUUGUGAUAAUUUGUAGAGAGCCUGAGCCAGGUUGGUCCCCAAGGGAUCUGGCUGGAAAGUUCCUGUGCAUGAUUCACAUGUCCCAAUCAGCUGUGAUUAAGCUUUCCUAUCUCCCUGAGAGCUUCAUGGAAAUCCAGAGAUAUUUUCAGCCUUGGAUCACAGGAUUUGGCUAGGCUGUGGUCUGGGCACAGAUAGCAGCUCACGAGAACAGCUCACCGGGGAGCCAUUUUCAGCCAGCUCUGCAGCUCUGCUCAUAUACCUUUCAUCAGGCUGCAUUUCCAUGAGAGUUUAAAGAUGGUGCAUUCACUGAAGAGUCUCCCUGCCUGGGAGAGAGGACGUCUGUGGGACACUCGGUGCAUGUUGCAUUUAUUCUUCUCAUUAAACCAUCACAGCUGGGUGGGUGGCUCACACCUGUACUCCCAGCACUUUGGGAGGCUAAGGCAGGAGGACUGCUUGUGUCCAGGAUUUUGAGACCAGCCGGAGUAUCAUAGCAAGACCUUACUUCUACAAAAAAAUUUAAAAAAAUUAGCUGGGUGUGGAGUCAUGCACCUGUAGCUGCAGCUACUCAGGAGGCUGAAGUGGGAGGAUCGCUUGAGCCCAAGAGGUCCAGGUUGCAGUGAGCCAUGAUUGUGCCUCUACACUCGAGCCUGGGUGACAGAGCGAGACCCUGUCUCAAAUAAACAAAUAAAUAAAUACCAUAACAGUGAAAUAUUAAUAGCUGUAAUGAAUUCUUUUACUUUUUUAGAUAUAGGGUCUCACUACAUUGCCUAGGUUGUUCUCAAACUUCUGGCCUCAAGCAGUCCUUCAGCCUCAUCCUCCCAUGUAGCUGGGACUACAGGUGUACACCAUCAUGCCUGGCUCAUUUUUAAAUUUUUUUUGUAGAGACAAGGUCUUGCUCUGUCACCCAGGCUCGAGUGCAGUAGCACAGUCAUAGCUUGCUGCAGCCUCUCUUGAGCCUAGGAGGGUCCCAAGCAUUUCUCCCACCUCAGCUUCCCAAGUAGGUGAGACUACAGGUGGGUGUCACUGCACUCAGCUAAUUUUUUAAUUUUUUUGUAGAGAUGAGGUCUUGCCAUCUUGCCUAGGCUGGUCUCACACUCCUGGACUUAAACAGUCCUCCCAUCUCAGCCUCCCAAAGUGCCAGGAUUAUAGGCAUGAGCCACCGCAGUGGGCCAUCUUGCAUGUUUCUAGCACGUUUACCUAUUUCAGUGGAUAUCAACCCUAGCUGCACAUUAGCAUCAAUCACCUGGGUAGAUUUGAUAAAUACACUUGCCCAGGAUUGGGGAAGGGAGCUGGGCACUGGCGUUUUGUUAAACCUUCCCAGGUGAUUUUGAUGCACAGGAAGGGUUGAGAACCAUUUGUUGUCUGGGGCUCAUCAAGGUCCUAUGCAUGGGGAUUAUCGGCCCCAUUUCACAGGUCAGGAGCAUGAGGCUUGAAGUUACUGAGAAGUUCUCAGGGCCACACACCUGAGGCCAAACAGCUGCUACAAAGUAGAGCUCGUAGUCAAUGCCAAAGAAGCUUAUUGCCUUUGGGGCAUCUAGAGACAAAAAAGCCUUGGCGUGACCCAAUAUCCCUGGGGCACCAGGAGCCAGAACAGCGUUUAGUGGGGUUUGGGCAUAUGAGUGGUGAAUGGCAUCAAAGCUCUGAGACUGAGGCUCGGAUGCAGGGGUCUCUAGGAUCCUGUGUAGUCUAGUGGAGCACUUCUCAAAGUGUAGUCCUUAGGCCAGAUGCAUGAGCAUCACUUGUGAACUUGUUAGAAAUGCAGAUUCUUCCCCACUGAAUCAGAAGCUCUGGAGGCCCAGAGAUCUGUAUUUUCACCUACCUUUCAAGUCAUCGUGAUGCAUGUUAAAGUUUGAGAACAACUGACUUGGUGAAACCAUCCUGGGACUUCAUAUCAAGUUAUCUGGAUUGAGUCCACUGUUAUUCUUGGCUUUGCCAAGCUCUUUGAUCUCUGAGUUUAGCUUUACUCCUCAGAAAGUUGGGGAAUCUAUGACUUUGUGAAAUGUCUUAUUAUAGAACUCCAUGCACAUGUUUAUUUGAGUUUACUUGGAAGGUAAACCCUGGUAAAAUCUGUUAAGUGUGUUUCAUGGGUACACUGCACUUGCAUCCAUGAAGUGCAGGGAGCUUCUUAGAGAUGCAGAAUUGCAGCUCCCAUCCCAGGCCUACUGAAUCAGGAUGUACAUUUUAAUAGGAUUCCCGAGGAACUUAUAUACUUCGAUGCACAUUUUAGUUUGAGAACUGCUGAACUAAAGAAUUUAGCAAAUAGUGAUUGUGCUGGGGGCUGCUUGCAGCAACCUGGGUCGAGGGCAUCCUUUGGCAUCUGGGACUGGCAUGAAGUGAUGGGAUCUGCCUGAGUGACUCAACUGCCCUACUUGUGUUUGUACAGCUCUCAGGCGACCAGGCCUUGGUGGGGAGCAGCUAGAAGUGUAGCUCUGGGGGUUUGCUGUCCCCUCUAUGCUUGCUAUCUAGGGCAGAGGCUGACUAGGCAGGGGAAAUGUGUAUGGCAGCAGAGCAGCCUGUGUAGCAGCCUUAGGAACCUCACCGCACAAGCCCAUACAUCCUCUGCUCUCCACCAGGGUCCGCACCAAGUUUGCAGGUUCAGCAGGCGGCAUCCUCCACUGUGGAACAGGAGAGCGAGGAGCUGGUAGCAUGCUCAUCCUGUCACCCUGGAAGGACCCAGACUAGAGCAGGAAGAAAGCCAGUUAUACAUGAUGCUGCAAGAGUCAGCGUGCACCUCCUGGAACGUGUGUGCCUGGGAAAAUAGCUGCCAGUUGUCAACAUGCAGCCUCAGCCUACCCAAGGCAGCUGGGCCUUCUUCCUGACACUUUGCAAAAGAGGGCAAGGACAGACUGUUGAGUUCAGCCAUGUGGUUGAGUCCUUCAGUGGAAGAAUGUCAGGCAGAUAAUUGAUCCCACAGGGGUCCUGUGAAUUAUGCAGUCCACCCCUGGGGUAUCAGUUCUGGAAAAAGAUGGUCCAUUUCCAAGUGUCAGUCAUGAAGGUAACUUCAUAAAAACUGUACUUUCAAAUAUAUAGCUUAUUUUCUUUGGAAUGCCCAAACUUAGUCUUUGGACUAAUGCCAGAAUCUUAAUCCUGAACACAUUCAGCAGUCCAUUUCUUGCUAUAUUAGGUAACAUAUAUAAAUGUGGCAAAAAAAAAAAAACAACUUGAUUUGAUCUCGACUCAACUAUUAACACUGUUAUUGAGUUUCUGUUGUUCAAAAUAGAAAUAAAGCAUUUUUAUGGCAAGAAAAGCAUGUUUAUUUGACUUAGGCCCCUUGAAAAUUGCCCAGUUGUGUAAGUAAACACUUAAAAACAAAGCAUUUGGGGGUAAGUUGCCAGAGGUGCUUGAUAAAUGCACGUGAGAAUGAAAUCUGAGAAUUGCUGGCUGGUUGUUUUUUGUAUCUUCACAGUGACUUUCCCACUAGAAACCUCAGCCUCCUUAGAUCUGUUAUCCCAGAUGUUUCUUUGGAGCCAGUUCAGUUCUUUCUCGUUGUUAAAUAUUUAUACAACCUGCCUGUUUUGCUUCGCUACAUGCAUAGCAUGGCUGAUGCUGCUGAACUGUUUGUGUUUUUUUCUCAUAUUUUAUGUUGAAAGAUAUUCCAUGAAUCUGGACAGAUUUCCAGCCCAGGCUGUUGGGUUCAUUAUCACUCUUGUGUCACAGCAGAUAAAGGAGUCAGAGUGGUGCUUUUGCACACGUUGCUGACUCUGGCUGGAAGGCUGGCCUCCCUGCACACAGUGAGCUCCACCAGCCGUGUGUGCUGAGGAGUGGUGGUGGGGAUGGGGGGCGGUGCAUAGGGGUGUAGGGAGGCAGCGGGGGAGUGGAAGAAUCCCUGUACUUGGAGUCAGAUGAACCUGGUGACAGUUACAGUCCAUGGCCUUUACCUUGGGUGAAUGACUUAACCUCCCUGAGCCUCAGUUUUCUCGCUUGUAAAUGCAAACAAUAACGCAUCUCCUACAAAACUGCUUUGAAGCAGGCAUUCAAUGACAUAUGGGAUAGUAUUAAUGAUAGUGUUUGGGAAUUGUAGAGAGUUCAUUCAUUUGUUUUAAUAACUGCAAAUUCCAUUUAAACACUACUAUAGAUCAGUGGUUUCCCAAACUUUCCAUCUUGCCCUGCUUUAUUUGUCUUCUUAGCUCUCUAAAAUGUGUCUUAGGAUUUUGGUACUGUUGACAAGGGAAGAUGGGUAGGCCCUGAUCUUUGUUAGUUUUGCCCCUUUACAAAAGUGUGACAUGUGCUUGAGAAUCCCCAUUGCAGGCUCAGGUAGAGGAGAGGGAAGAAAAGAGGCACUUACUUUUUUCUUUCUCUUUGUUCUAUUCAUUCAUCCAUUCAUCCAGCAUGUAUUUAGUGAGUACUAACUAACUUGGUGCAAGACACUGUACUAAGUGCUGGGGAUCUAGUGAUGAAUAAAACCCAUGUGGCCUGGCUCUUGUGGAGUUUACAGUUCAGUGGGGAAAAGAGACACCAAAGAGAUAAUCACAUCUAACACACUGUGGUAGGUGUUGUGGAGGAAAAGGCCAGGAGGGCAACAAGAACAAACAAUACAGAAUGGGACAUGUCUGGGCAGGUUGGAGAAUGCCCCUGUGAGUGACUGAUGCCUGGUGAGAUCUAAUAAGGAAGCAGAAGGCAGCCAGGUGAGGAGAUGGUGAAGCGUGGGGAGAGGGGAUGCUGACUCCAAGACCAAUUGCAGGCCACUGAGGAUUUUAACCAGUAGAGGCCCAUGAACCAUGUUAGAUGUGAGAUGCUCACUCUGGUGACAGAGUGGAGAACAUGUCAUAGGACAACCAGACAGGUUUGGGGUAUUCAAGGUUAGGAGGAUGCUAGAGUUAUCUAUGCGAGGGCUGAUGCAGGCUUGGGUUGGGGAGGAGUAUAGUUUCCUCUGGCUGCCGUAGUACAUUACUACAAACUGGGCAGCUUAAAACAAUGGGAAUGUGUUAUCUUGCCGUUCUGGAGGUCAGAAGUCCAAAAUCAAGGUGUCAGCAGCCAGGUCAGUUAUUUCUGGAGGCUGUGAGGAAGAACCUGUUCCAUGGCUGUCUCCUAGCUCUGGUGGUAGCUGACAGUCCUUGCCAUUCCUUGUAGACACAUCGGUCCAAUCUCUGUCUCCAUCAUAAGGUGGCAUUUUCCCUUUGUGUCUCUGGGUCCAAAUUUCCCUCUUCUAAGAAUACCAGUCUGUUGGAUUAGGGCCCACCUUAAUCUGGUAUGACCUCAUUUUAACUUGAUUCUAUCUACAAAGACUUUCUUUCCAAAUAAGGUCACAUAUGCAAGUUCUGAGUGGACAUGAAUUUUGGGCAGGGGGUGGUUGGAGACACUGUAAAACCCAGUAUAGAUUGUAACAGUGGAGAUGGAGGGAAGUGGUUAACUUCACCAGAUAUGUAGGCAGUGAAACCAACAAGGGGAGUUGAUCCACUCACUCUAGUCCUUUACCCAAAUAGUGUUUUAAAAAAGCUGAUAUCCAGGGUCAUUGGUGGCCUCGUUGGUGCCUCUUCUCAUUGUCAGAUCUCUUCUACUAGAAGCAAGUUUAACUGCGGGGAGGACAGGAGGCACCUCCUCAGCAUCCCUGACUUGUCGUGUUGAGUCAAGCCACAAAAUCCACUGCUUCCUUUGAUGUUUAUGCAUUCACUGAUGGAUCCCUUUGGACCCACAAGCCUAUUUUUGUAGAUCAACUUGGGUGCAAUGCAGAAUGUGCUCAUUGUGCCCUGCUGGGGGAUAGGAAUACUCACUGGUGUUAAUUUUUUAUAAUUGCUAAUCACCUAUGCAGUGAGUCAGCAGAGGUACAGCCCUAGGAAUGGUCUUCUAGGCUGUGGGUGGUGUGGGAUUUGAUUUGCCCCACCAUGUAGGCAUGGAGCCCAUUCAGAUGUGAACGUGGUUACAGGUUGAGCCUUGCUGUAUCGAUUCCUCUGCUUCACUUUCCUGCUCUAUUCCUCUUCAUUUCCUUCCAGAUGGGGCUACUGAUGCUCACCACUCAUCCAUCUGGAGUAGGCUGAAGCUACCCUAGGUGGGACAGAGCAGCACUUCCCCCUCUUCCUCUCCACACCUCCCUGAUAUGGCAGGGCUUGGAAUUCAGUCGCCGUGCAGACCCAGGCAGGCAGUUGAAUUCCUCCAGGCUGCCCCUUGCUGUACUUCUCCCUGCUUCUCAUACCACCCAGCCCUGAGCCCGGGCUUCCAUCUCUCUUCGCCUGCCUUUGUCCUGACCUGAUUCAUCCUCUCAUGCCUGAGUCCUGCCCACCUCCCCGUGCCUUGGGUCAGACCUGCCCCUUCAUGUUGUCCAUGCGCACAGCAGCAGAGCUGGGCACAAUCCAGAGCCGAGGUCAGGGCUGUUUUUGCUGAGAGCAGUGGCAGGUCGCCACACUGAGGGUGGGUUCAGAUGGGGCGCGUGGAGGGGUCAAGUCCAGGAACUGAUGCAGGAGAGGGUGCAGGGAGAUGGGCCAGAAUGUCUGAGUGGGGAACAAGCCAUGCACAUCCAGGAGUUGAGAAGUUUGGCCCCCAGCUCAGGACAUAGUCUGUGACUGACACCUGGCCCGCUCAGGCCUGGCUCUGACAGCCUGCAAGGUACGGGCUCAGUUUCCAGAUGUUGGACUUAGAUAGCUGGUACUUGACCAUUGUGCCUACAUUUCCAGAAGCUUCCUUUAUAAUCGGACCCUGAAACCAGACCAGGGCACCUGCCCCUCACCAGUCUCCUUCGUCUUCUGGACCUUGUCUUCUAGGUAUGCAGACCUCCCAUGCUUUGUUCAUGGCAACAACUUCUUAGGGAAGGGAUCUAAAACAGAAGCCAACCUGGGCAUUGCAAGACCGGAAGAGGAGGCUUGCCCAGUAAUGUCACUGAAUGACUGGAUUUUCCAUGCAUGAUGCCAGGACUCCACUCCAUUUCUGUGAACUCGACUGUACCAUAGUGAAGUUCAGACAUCUGUCUUUCAAAAGCUACCCUGAUGAUUCCAGUGUGGACCAACUACUGCUCCCCAAUGCGACCCCUGCCAACAAACCCCACGCAUAAAUAAAAUAAAAUAAAAUAAUACAACCUAAUUUGUCCUUUAUCUAGGAGAUAAAUUUCAGGAAGAUAGUUUCUUAAUUUACUACCACCGAAAACCAAAAUGUUAAAAAUGUAGUCAUCAACACAACUGAAAAAUGUGCAGCACUUAGCAUUCUAAGUCCUCUUUGAAAGAGUCUUGAUUUCCUAAUGAAGUAUCUUUUAUCCUAACUUUGAUGUUCAGGAAGCCAAUCGACAAAUACUUUUUUCUUCCUUCUAUAACAGGAAACUACAACAGAAAUAACCUAGAAGUAGUAUUUUUUUAGGCAGAUAUAAUUACUUUGAGUUACUUUGGGAUGUUUGAAAAGACGAAUUGAAUCAUUGCUUCUUGCUGGUAUGAUUUAGAUUUCAGUAAUCAUCUCACGUGAUAGUCAUAUUUUGUAAUACUUUGGUUAAAAAUAGCUUUGUUGCAAAAACUCCAGUGUGAUAAAGAAAAUAAAAUAGUUUCCUUUAGCUUCACCAAAGACAGACACAUUUCCCUCUGAAAUGUCAUGACUCAUGCCACAUGGCUAAAUAAAAGUGCACGUAUAGCACUGAUCUUUCCUGUUUAUUGCUUUUUUAGUAGAAGCUAAUUGAGGAAAACAUCUGCAUCCAGUUUUCCCUUUAUUUUUGUAGAUUCUUUUCUUCUACUCCAACGCAAAGCCUCCCUGGACAGUCAUUUGCUCAGGCAGUGAUCUGAUAGAUGGCUUUCAGUUUUCUCCUUUUGGGUGAUGACAUAAAUUACUCUGCAAUGAGCUAUUUACAAUGCCACUCUUUAACCUUGAGCUGAGCGCACACGUUCUAAGGACCUGAACUCACAAGAGCUCGGCAUCAUGAGGGUCACACAGGCUGACUCUUCUCUCAGUUCUACAGCUCUCUCCAUAAUAGGCCUGUGAAGUGGCCACUGGCUUCUUUUUGAACACCUGCAGUGGCAGAGCUGGCCACCUCAGAAGAUAGCCCUUUCUACACUGGAACAGUGCACUUGUACUCAGUUUGAAGUUAUCCCCAGUAACCCUUGCCAUCGUCUUAGCACAGCCCACAUUGCUUGCUAGGGCUGGGAAUUGGCAGAUGGGUGGACUCACCGACAGCCAUGGUGGGGGGUUAAGAGCAUGGACUUUCUGCCUGGGUUUGAGUCUUCGUUUCCCCGCUGACCAGUUGGGUGAUCUUGGACAGGGUACAGGGAUCCUCCCUGAGCCUCCAGUUCCUCAUCAGUGUUGGUGUGAGGAUGGUGCCCAAGACAGUGCCUGGCGUGGUCUGGGUACUCAGUAAAUGCUUGUCAUCUUUUUUUUUCCCCCAACCGUAGGCAGCUUUGUCUUGGGAGGUAUUCUCAGUCCCUACCUAGUCAGGGAUUCGUGCACACACUUUUGUAAGCACUCCCAGGAGAAAGUGGUGAGAGAGAGAAGCUGGAUAGGUCAGGACAGGUCAGAAGAGAAGCCAGGCAAAGAUGUGAUUCUGGGGAGUCUAGCUUCAACCUGAUCUGCAGGGACAAAGCCUGGGAGAGUAAGUUGCACAGAGUCAGUCCCUCUUUGAGGCAAGGGUGUGGGGUUUUGCAGUCCCUCUUUGAGGCAAAUAAGUCACUGGUCGCAGGCCUUGAGGGGUGGGUGUAACUCCUAGAUAACUUCAGUCCAGGCGGCUUCAAGGAGAAGGCUCUGGAGAAGAUGCAGGUGUGAGCCAUCAGCUGAAGAACCUGCAGCAGCUAGGAGAGGACCCAGCAGUCAAAUUGGUGCGUGAGAUCCAGGGUAUCUGGGCGGGACAUCCGCAGUGUCUACUGAAGCCCACGGAAGAAAGCCUGUUGGUGGAGCUGGCUGCAGGCUGGCCACCAGAGCAGCUGAGGUUUACCCAAAAUAACCUGACAAUGCAAAGAGCCCCUCCAUGUGGAUGCAGACCCCGCCCCACAGUCCCGUCUCCCCUCGGGGCUGCCCACAGCCUGGCCCAAGACUGAGGCCAGCAACUAGGGCUUGGCCACCAGGUCUUCACAGAUGAAGGGGAAACCUCUUUAUGGGAGGCAAAUUGCAUAUCUUAGUUUAAGUCAACAGAUAGUUAUCAGCACAAGUCACUGCACUAGAAACGGAAGAUGCAGCAAUGCAUGAAACUGUGGUCACCAUGCAUCAUGGAGCUUUACCCCAGGAAAUGGACAAACAGGCAGUUAUAUAAUGAAUAUAGAGUCAAAUUGGUGGCAUGUUCUAAAGAAAAAGAACAGGAGGCUAUGGGACAGGGGCAGGGGACCCUAAUUUACACGUUAGAGGUGGUGGGGAGAGUGGAGCAGGGAAAGGCCUCUGAGGAAAUGACUAUAAAGCUGAAAAUGGAAGGACAUGAAUGGGAAUUAGCAAUUUGUGAGGUGGUAGGGGGAGUGAGGUCAAGAACUUUCCCAGCCAUGGGAAUAGCAUAGCAUGUGAAAAGGCUCUGGGGCAGGGAAGGUAUUGGUGGCUCUGGGGAAGUGAGGAAGGCCAUUGUAUUAGUUAGUUUUCACGCUGCUGAUAAAGACAUACCUGAGACUGGGAAGAAAAAGAGGUUUCAUGGCCUUACAGUUCCACAUGGCUGGGGAGGCCUCACAAUCAUGGCAGAAGGCAAGGAGGAACAAGUCACGACUUACAUGGAUGGUGGCAGGCAAAAAGGGAAGUGCUUGUGUGGGGAACCCCUUUUUAUUACCAUCAGAUCUUGUGAGACUUAUUCACUAUCACGAGAACAGCACGUGAAAGACCUGCUCCCAUGAUUCAAUUACCUCCCACCGGAUCCCUUCAACGACAUGUGGGAAUUCAAGAUGAGAUUUGAGUGGGGACACAGCCAAGCCAUAUCCCUUGCAGUGAGAUGAGGGGGAAACGUCAGGCCAGGGACAGCCACAGAGAACCAUUAUGCACUUGGAAUUUACUGUUAGUGCAAGAAGCAGUCCCUGAAAGCAUGUUAACAUGAUCCAAUUUGCAUUUUUAUAUAGAAAGACUGUUCUGGUUGCUGGAAGGGAAAUGGAUAUUUUGGGGAGUGAGGUUGGGAGGAUCCAAGAAGAGAAGAAAUUAAUAUUUACAUACUGUGUAAAGUGACUUCACAAAUACAUCUCAUUUACUUCUCAGGACAGGCCUUUUUUUUUUUUUUUUUUUUUUUUUAAGUAUAGGCAUAUUCAGUUGUUCCAGCACCUUUGGUUUUUUGGUGAUUUUUUGCUUUGUUUUGCUUUUUAAUCUCUUGGCUGAAUCACAGUACCUUCACUGAAAAGACAAUUCUUUCUCUACUGAAUUGCCUUUGCACACCAAUUAUAUCUACACAGGUGUACGUCUAUUUCUGGACUCUGUGCUAUUCUGUUUAUGCAGAGUGUCCUUCUUUCUUUCUUUCUUUCUUUUUUUUUCUAGACAGGGUCUUCUUUGGUUGCCCAGGCUGGAGUGCAGUGGCACCAUCACAGCUCACAGCGGCCUUGCCCUUCCAGGCUGAAGUGAUCUUCCCACCUUAGCCUCCUGAGUAAUUGGGACUACAGCCAUGCGCCACCACGUCUGGCUAAUUUUUUUAUUCUUUGUAGAGAAAAGGUCUGGUGUUGCCCAGGCUGAUUUCAAACUCCUAGGCUCAAGCCAUCCUCCUGCCUCAGCCUCCCAAAAUGCUGGGAUUAUGGGCAUGAGCCACCAUGCCUGGCUCAGUGUCUUGAUUACUACAGCUUUAUCAUCUUCAAAUCAGAUAAUGUUAGUCCUCCAACUUUGUUCCUCUUUUCCAGUCUCUCGGGGUCCUUCACUACCUGAUGUCCAAUGUGUAAGAACUAUUCUAUAGAUUUUACUGGGUGCUUGAUGGUUUCAGAAGGGAAGGUCAGUCUGGCUCCUGUUACUUGGUUGGAAGCAGAGGUCCUUAUGAUAAUUUCUUUGAAUGCCUCUUCUCUGUCUCCUCUGUCAGCUCAGUUCUCAAAUUCCUGUGAUGGAUUGCCUGACUCUCUUAUCUAGGAAUCUUAGCCUUUUGCAUAUUAUAUUUACCUCCUUUCCCUUUUGUUUUGUGUGUGUGUUUGUGAGUGUGUAUGUGUGUGUGUGUGACCUCGGAGAAUUUCCAAAGGUUUCUUUUAAUUCAUUGAUUCAGUUUUUAGCAGUAUCACUAUUUAUUGCCUCCAUUUGGGUAUUCAUUUCUGAAAUCAUGUUUUUCAUCUAAAAGCAAUCUUUCUUGGUCCGAGGUUAUUUUCUUUUUAUUAUGAAAGAUUUUCUCAAAUAUUGCUGAGACUUAAUGUUUCAACAUAUUGUGUUCUUUCUGUUUCUUGGUGUCUUAAUCUGUUUACUGCUGCUAUAACAGAAUACCACAGACUGAUUAAUUUAUAAUGAACAGAAACUUAUUUGGCUUACAGUUCUGGAAACUGGGAAGUCCAAGACCAUGGUUCUGACAUCUGGCAGGGGCCCUCGUGCUGUGUCAUCCCAUGGUGGAAGGCAAAAGACUGAGAGAGCAAAAGCAAGAGAGAACGAGACAGAGAGCGGAAAGCAAGAAGGGCCAAGCUUGCUUUUAUAACAAACCCAUCCCUACAAUCAUGACAUUAAACUAUUCAUGAGGGCUCUGCCCUCCUGAGGCCUUAUGACUUGAUCACCUCUUAAAGGUCUUACCUCACAACACUCUUGCAUUGGGGAUUAAGUUUCCAAUACAUGAGCUUUGGAGGACACAUUCAAACCACAGCAAGUGGCGGGGGGUGGGGGUGGGGGAUUUGUUCUGAUUUUUCCUGAAUUGUGUACAGCUAUCUGGGAGCUGCAGCCGAGGCAGCCCUGUACCUUGGUCACCAUUACCUGAAGUUAGUAGGGCCAUGCCCACUCCUUUACAUGAAAUGCUGCCUCUCAGAAGCAGGCUGUGGCAGCUUUUCUUCCUCUUUAUGUGGCAGGUUGUUUGCUUUAAGUCAGGGUGAUAUGAGGGGGCUCUGCCUCUGGCCUCACUGUGAUUAUACCCUAGGUCACUUGUCUUCUGCUUCCUGAUUUCCUGUUCUCUCUCUCCUGCUUGGAGUUUGGAAACUUCUAGUAGGGAACUCUUUCACUUUCUUCCCAGGCAGUUUGUUUCCUCAUAUUGGUUGAACCAUGAUGAUAUAGUUGGAAUGGUUGUCCCCUCCAAAUCUCAUGUUGAAAUUUGAUCCCUAAUGUUGGAGAUGGGGCCUGGUGGGAGAUAUUCGGAUCAUGAGGGCAGAUCCCUCACUAAUGGCCUGGUGCCCUCCCUGUGGAAAUGAGUAAGUUCUCACUCUUUUGGUUCACCUGAGAGCUGUUUGUUUAAAAGAGCAUGGCACCCCUCCUUCUCUCUCUGUCUUGCUCCUUUUCUUGCCAUGUGACACUCCUGCUCCCUCUUUGCUUCUGCCAUGAUGCUUCCUGGAGUCCUCACCAGAAGCAGAUGCUGGCACCAUGCUUCUUAUACAGCUUGCAGAACCAUGAACCCAAUAAACUUCUUUUCUUUGCAAAUUA
Long non-coding RNA from Homo sapiens (human), 13472 nucleotides. RefSeq lists it as uncharacterized. The transcript has 2 exons. Lineage: Eukaryota; Metazoa; Chordata; Mammalia; Primates; Hominidae. The record is from RefSeq and is a predicted model, not a curated record.